CUGUACUGAUUGUGUAAAAAUAUAUUUGUAUAUAUAUAUAUACACAUAUAUGAAUAUAUAUGUGUGUGUGUAUGUGUAUACAUAUUAUAUUUA
Molecule: microRNA precursor, 93 nt
Filed under: Ochotona princeps (American pika)
Lineage: Eukaryota; Metazoa; Chordata; Mammalia; Lagomorpha; Ochotonidae
Description: miRNA (ENSOPRG00000018221.1)
Source: RNAcentral